GACGAACGCUGGCGGCGUGCUUAACACAUGCAAGUCGAACGAAGUGGCGAACGGGUGAGUACCGCGUAAUCAACCUGCCCUUCAGAGGGGGACAACAGUUGGAAACGAAUGCUAAUACCGCAUACUGAAGGAGGGGAUUGCGUCUGUUUAGCAAGUUGGUGGGGUAACGGCCUACUAAGGCGUUGAUCAGUAGCCGGUCUGAGAGGAUUAACGGCCAAAUUGGGACUGGGACACGGCCCAGACUCCUACGGGAGGCAGCAGUGGGGAAUCAUCCGCAAUGGACGAAAGUCUGACGGAGCAACGCCGCGUGAGUGAUGACGGCCUUCGGGUUGUAAAGCUCUGUUAAUCGGGACGCGGUACCGGAAUAGAAAGGCACGGCUAACUACGUGCCAGCAGCCGCGGUAAUAC
RNAcentral lists this ribosomal RNA (408 nucleotides) under uncultured bacterium. RNAcentral describes it as "partial 16S ribosomal RNA". It matches the Rfam family "Bacterial small subunit ribosomal RNA", at positions 28 to 526 of the family's 1533-position model. The record is from RNAcentral.